RNAcentral lists this ribosomal RNA (801 nucleotides) under Klebsiella pneumoniae. RNAcentral's name for it is "bacterial LSU rRNA". It matches the Rfam family "Bacterial large subunit ribosomal RNA", at positions 455 to 1258 of the family's 2925-position model. The record is from RNAcentral. Lineage: Bacteria; Pseudomonadati; Pseudomonadota; Gammaproteobacteria; Enterobacterales; Enterobacteriaceae.
AUCCUCCAAGGCUAAAUACUCCUGACUGACCGAUAGUGAACCAGUACCGUGAGGGAAAGGCGAAAAGAACCCCGGCGAGGGGAGUGAAAAAGAACCUGAAACCGUGUACGUACAAGCAGUGGGAGCACCUUCGGGUGUGACUGCGUACCUUUUGUAUAAUGGGUCAGCGACUUAUAUUCUGUAGCAAGGUUAACCGUAUAGGGGAGCCGCAGGGAAACCGAGUCUUAACUGGGCGUUAAGUUGCAGGGUAUAGACCCGAAACCCGGUGAUCUAGCCAUGGGCAGGUUGAAGGUUGGGUAACACUAACUGGAGGACCGAACCGACUAAUGUUGAAAAAUUAGCGGAUGACUUGUGGCUGGGGGUGAAAGGCCAAUCAAACCGGGAGAUAGCUGGUUCUCCCCGAAAGCUAUUUAGGUAGCGCCUCGUGAACUCAUCUUCGGGGGUAGAGCACUGUUUCGGCUAGGGGGUCAUCCCGACUUACCAACCCGAUGCAAACUACGAAUACCGAAGAAUGUUAUCACGGGAGACACACGGCGGGUGCUAACGUCCGUCGUGAAGAGGGAAACAACCCAGACCGCCAGCUAAGGUCCCAAAGUCAUGGUUAAGUGGGAAACGAUGUGGGAAGGCACAGACAGCCAGGAUGUUGGCUUAGAAGCAGCCAUCAUUUAAAGAAAGCGUAAUAGCUCACUGGUCGAGUCGGCCUGCGCGGAAGAUGUAACGGGGCUAAACCAUGCACCGAAGCUGCGGCAGCGACACUAUGUGUUGUUGGGUAGGGGAGCGUUCUGUAAGCCUGCGAAGGUG